CUCCCUUCAGGGACAUCUGGUAAAUUGAAGCGGUGCAGAAAAGAUUAACAUGACAUGUGCACGGAUGACAUGCAAAAAUCGAGAAACGGUCAAAUUCUUU
Small nuclear RNA from Lycium ferocissimum, 100 nucleotides. Lineage: Eukaryota; Viridiplantae; Streptophyta; Magnoliopsida; Solanales; Solanaceae. The record is from RefSeq and is a predicted model, not a curated record.